AAAGUCCCAUCCGGCCAAGGUUAGCCACCAGCCGGUAGCGAGUGUUGCGUGGUGCCGGGUAACCGCCACUGCGAAGCGUACGCAGCGAGUGGAUAGGCCGUGUGAUUGAGCAUCGAAAUCCUCGCAUUACGGUCGCCGACAGCGUUAUGGAUCUGGAAGGCAAUACGAACCCGCUGUACUGGCUUGGCGGGAGAGGGCCGUCGGUGUCAUAGAGCA
Molecule: non-coding RNA, 216 nt
Filed under: Halomonas organivorans
Lineage: Bacteria; Pseudomonadati; Pseudomonadota; Gammaproteobacteria; Oceanospirillales; Halomonadaceae
Source: RNAcentral